This 84-nucleotide transfer RNA is filed under the name Deltaproteobacteria bacterium. Its description in RNAcentral is "tRNA-Leu". It matches the Rfam family "tRNA". Rfam says of the family: Transfer RNA (tRNA) molecules are approximately 80 nucleotides in length. Their secondary structure includes four short double-helical elements and three loops (D, anti-codon, and T loops). Lineage: Bacteria; Pseudomonadati; Myxococcota; Myxococcia. The record is from RNAcentral.
GCGAGGGUGGCGAAACUGGCAGACGCGCUGGACUUAGGAUCCAGUGGCCGAAAGGUCAUGAGGGUUCGACUCCCUUCCCUCGCA